This 492-nucleotide ribosomal RNA is filed under the name uncultured bacterium. RNAcentral's name for it is "partial 16S ribosomal RNA". It matches the Rfam family "Bacterial small subunit ribosomal RNA", at positions 29 to 507 of the family's 1533-position model. The record is from RNAcentral.
AGUGAACGCUGGCGGUAGGCCUAACACAUGCAAGUCGAACGGCAGCACAGUAAGAGCUUGCUCUUACGGGUGGCGAGUGGCGGACGGGUGAGGAAUACAUCGGAAUCUACUUUUUCGUGGGGGAUAACGUAGGGAAACUUACGCUAAUACCGCAUACGACCUACGGGUGAAAGCAGGGGAUCUUCGGACCUUGCGCGAAUGAAUGAGCCGAUGUCGGGUUAGCUAGUUGGCGGGGUAAAGGCCCACCAAGGCGACGAUCCGUAGCUGGUCUGAGAGGAUGAUCGGCCACACUGGAAGGGAGACACGGUCCAGACUACUACGGGAGGCAGCAGUGGGGAAUAUGGGACAAUGGGCGCAAGCCUGAUCCAGCCAUACCGCGUGGGUGAAGAAGGCCUUCGGGUUGUAAAGCCCUUUUGUUGGGAAAGAAAAGCAGCAGGUUAAUACCCCGCUGUUCUGACGGUACCCAAAGAAUAAGCACCGGCUAACUUCGUG